GACGAACGCUGGCGGCGUGCUUAACACAUGCAAGUCGAACGGUGAAGCGCCUUCCUUUUUGGUGGGUGUGGAUGAGUGGCGAACGGGUGAGUAACACGUGAGUAACCUGCCCCCUUCUUCUGGAUAACCGCAUGAAAGUGUGGCUAAUACGGGAUAUUCUGGGUCUGUCGCAUGAUGGGUCUGGGAAAGAUAUUGUUUCGGUGGGGGAUGGGCUCGCGGCCUAUCAGCUUGUUGGUGGGGUGAUGGCCUACCAAGGCGGUGACGGGUAGCCGGCCUGAGAGGGCGGCCGGUCAAGUGGGGAGAGAGACCGGGCCCGACCCCCGGAGGGAGGAGGAGGGGGGGAAAUGGGACAAACGGGCGAAAGCCGGAUGAACGCACCCCGGGUGAGGAAGGGGGGCGUUUGGGUUGGAACCCUUUUUCGCGAGGAAAGAGGGCCUGCCUAUUUUGUGGGGGGUUUACGGGUAGUAGGAAAAGAACCACCGCCAAACUACGG
RNAcentral lists this ribosomal RNA (493 nucleotides) under uncultured bacterium. RNAcentral's name for it is "partial 16S ribosomal RNA". It matches the Rfam family "Bacterial small subunit ribosomal RNA", at positions 28 to 506 of the family's 1533-position model. The record is from RNAcentral.